Molecule: non-coding RNA, 54 nt
Organism: Salmo salar (Atlantic salmon)
Lineage: Eukaryota; Metazoa; Chordata; Actinopteri; Salmoniformes; Salmonidae
Source: Rfam
UGCGUGCAUGACUGUAAGUCGCUUUGGAUAAAAGUGUCUGCUAAAUUACUUACU